UACGUAGGGGGCAAGCGUUGUCCGGAAUUAUUGGGCGUAAAGAGCGUGUAGGCGGCUCGCUAAGUCCGCUGUGAAAGUCCAGGGCUCAACCCUGGAAAGCCGGUGGAAACUGUCGAGCUAGAGUCCGGAAGAGGCGGGUGGAAUUCCUGGUGUAGCGGUGAAAUGCGCAGAUAUCAGGAGGAACACCAAUGGCGAAGGCAGCUCGCUGGGACGGUACUGACGCUGAGACGCGAAAGCGUGGGGAGCAAACAGG
RNAcentral lists this ribosomal RNA (253 nucleotides) under uncultured bacterium. Its description in RNAcentral is "partial 16S ribosomal RNA". It matches the Rfam family "Bacterial small subunit ribosomal RNA", at positions 524 to 776 of the family's 1533-position model. The record is from RNAcentral.